Molecule: signal recognition particle RNA, 95 nt
Rfam family: Bacterial small signal recognition particle RNA
About the family: The signal recognition particle (SRP) is a universally conserved ribonucleoprotein involved in the co-translational targeting of proteins to membranes. Archaeal SRP consists of a 7S RNA and homologues of the eukaryotic SRP19 and SRP54 proteins.
UGGAAGCCGGUGCGGACGGUCCGUUCGCCAAUCCGGUCAGGUCCGGAAGGAAGCAGCCGUAACGAAUUCGGUCCGGGUCGUGCCGGUUUCCACCU